ACGGAAGGCAGCAGUGGGGAAUAUUGCACAAUGGGGGAAACCCUGAUGCAGCGACGCCGCGUGAGUGAAGAAGUAUUUCGGUAUGUAAAGCUCUAUCAGCAGGAAAGAAAAUGACGGUACCUGACUAAGAAGCCCCGGCUAACUACGUGCCAGCAGCCGCGGUAAUACGUAAGGGGCAAGCGUUAUCCGGAUUUACUGGGUGUAAAGGGAGCGUAGACGGCUUUGCAAGUCUGAAGUGAAAGCCCGGGGCUCAACCCCGGAACUGCUUUGGAAACUGUAGAGCUAGAGUGCAGGAGAGGUAAGUGGAAUUCCUAGUGUAGCGGUGAAAUGCGUAGAUAUUAGGAGGAACACCAGUGGCGAAGGCGGCUUACUGGACUGUAACUGACGUUGAGGCUCGAAGGCGUGGGGAGCAAACAGGAUUAGAUACCCUGGUA
This 434-nucleotide ribosomal RNA is filed under the name uncultured Lachnospiraceae bacterium. RNAcentral describes it as "partial 16S ribosomal RNA". It matches the Rfam family "Bacterial small subunit ribosomal RNA", at positions 341 to 792 of the family's 1533-position model. Lineage: Bacteria; Bacillati; Bacillota; Clostridia; Lachnospirales; Lachnospiraceae. The record is from RNAcentral.